Molecule: long non-coding RNA, 301 nt
Filed under: Rattus norvegicus (Norway rat)
Lineage: Eukaryota; Metazoa; Chordata; Mammalia; Rodentia; Muridae
Description: long non-coding RNA NONRATT017098
Source: RNAcentral
UGCUACGCUGGUUACAGCGGUGAGGACUGUGGACAGGAAGAGCCUCCUGCCAGUGCCUGCCCCGGGGGCUGUGGGCCGCGGGAACUGUGCCGCGCUGGACAAUGUGUUUGUGUUGAGGGCUUUCGAGGCCCAGACUGUGCCAUCCAGACGUGUCCGGGUGACUGCCGGGGCAGGGGAGAGUGUGUCCAGGGCACAUGCGUCUGCCAAGAUGGCUAUGCUGGGGACGACUGCGGAGAAGAGAUACCGGCCAUCCAGAACAUGAGGAUGCAUCUCCUAGAGGAGACAACAGUCCGGACGGAGU